UAAUAGAGAAUGGGCGCAGCCUGAUCCAGCCAUGCCGCGUGAGUGAAGAAGGCCUUCGGGUUGUAAAGCUCUUUCGGCCGGGAAGAAAUCGUGUUCUCUAACAUAGGACAUGGAUGACGGUACCGGACUAAGAAGCACCGGCUAACUACGUGCCAGCAGCCGCGGUAAUAA
This 171-nucleotide ribosomal RNA is filed under the name uncultured bacterium. Its description in RNAcentral is "partial 16S ribosomal RNA". It matches the Rfam family "Bacterial small subunit ribosomal RNA", at positions 359 to 526 of the family's 1533-position model. The record is from RNAcentral.